AGUGAACGCUGGCGGUAGGCCUAACACAUGCAAGUCGAACGGCAGCACAGUAAGAGCUUGCUCUUACGGGUGGCGAGUGGCGGACGGGUGAGGAAUACAUCGGAACCUACUUUUACGUGGGGGAUAACGUAGGGAAAAUUACGCGAAUACCGCAUACGACAUACGGGUGAAAGGAGGGGAUCUUCGGAUCUUGAGGGAUUGAAUGAGCCGAUGUCGGAUUAGCUAGUUGGCGGGGUAAAGGCCGACCACGGCGACGAUCCGUAGCAGGUCUGAGAGGAUGAUCCGCCACACUGGAACUGAGACGCGGCCCAGACUCCUACGCGAGGCAGCAGUGGGGAAUAUUGGAAAAUGUGCGCAAGCCUGAUCCAUCCAUACCACGUGGGUGAAGAAGGCCUUCGGGUUGUAAAGCCCUUUUCUUGUGAUAGAAAAUCAGCAGGUUAAUACCCCGCUGUUCUGACGGUACCCAAAGAAUAAGCACCGGCUAACUUCGU
RNAcentral lists this ribosomal RNA (491 nucleotides) under uncultured bacterium. RNAcentral's name for it is "partial 16S ribosomal RNA". It matches the Rfam family "Bacterial small subunit ribosomal RNA", at positions 29 to 506 of the family's 1533-position model. The record is from RNAcentral.